RNAcentral lists this long non-coding RNA (3042 nucleotides) under Solanum tuberosum (potato). RNAcentral's name for it is "long non-coding RNA (STUB_LNC000683)". The record is from RNAcentral. Lineage: Eukaryota; Viridiplantae; Streptophyta; Magnoliopsida; Solanales; Solanaceae.
UGUCGACCCACUAUACCCCGGUGGCAGCUUUGACCCAUUAGGUCUUGCUGAUGAUCCAGAGGCAUUUGCUGAGCUCAAGGUAAAGGAGAUUAAGAACGGUAGACUUGCUAUGUUCUCUAUGUUCGGAUUCUUUGUUCAAGCCAUUGUUACUGGAAAGGGUCCAUUGGAAAACCUUGCAGAUCACCUUGCAGACCCAGUUAACAACAACGCCUGGUCCUACGCCACAAACUUUGUCCCCGGAAAAUAAAAAUCUUAAAACAUUCUCAAGUUUCUGACCAUUUGAUGACCAUGUAAAGUUGUAAUUUGUGAGUUUACUUGACAAUAGAAUGAUUUUUUCUUAUAUCCUAUUCCAGUUAUGGUGUAGUCCUGAAUUCCAUUUUCCAAUGGCAUGAAUGAAAUGCUGCAAGUUUCAUAUCAAAGGGGAAAAACAGGUGACUGUUAAAAAAAAAACCAAUAUACAUUUGGGAUGUGGUAAAAGCUUAAAAGUUGAAUAUAGAGACCACUAGAGGAACUUAUGGAAUGCAAUCAGUUCUCAAGAAGCAAUACUCUUAACUUAGUGCCAACAGUAACAUGAUGAUUCCUUAUUUUUCAGUUUAGAAGUGAGAUGAAUUAAGAGGACAUAUGUUAUUUCACAACUACGUACGCCAUUGACAUAUCAAUGAUAAGGGAAAACCAAUGUAUAUGUUUUGUCUUCAGAACGCAGCAAGUAUUCUCUAUGUUUCAAUUUAAUCGUCUUACUUUCUUUUUUGACAAUACCUUGUUUAAAAUUUUCACUCAACAUGUUUAAGACCACAAGAUUAAAUAACGUUUUGGUGCAUUAUACUUAUCUUUAGUUUAAGACCAUUAGAUUAAAAAAUGUUCUUUACUUUCUUUAAUUCCGUGACAAGUCAAAACUAGACAAACAAAUUAAAAACGGAGCGAGUAAGAUAUACAAGUUUCCAGGCCAUGAAUGUACUUAUAUGUCCUUAAUUUGAUUAGCAUAUUUAAUUUGAACAAAUUCCUAACUUUCUUGUAUAGUCAUCUUUCCUUACAUGCAUGUCUGUGACAGCUUAUAUAACAGAGGCAGGUAUCCUUCCAAACAUGGCACAUAGUAAUGACCAGAGACAAAAGGACACAUAGUAAGCAGAAGAUAUACAUGACACUAUGGAAAGGAAAUUAAGUUCCAGGCAUUGACAUUGUCAAAAAUACUUGCACAAUCAUAUCACUUCAGAAGCGCGCAGAGGUAGCCUUCAUCAUACCGGUUAGACUAUACAAAAUAGCUUUGGCUUAAACCAUGUAUAUUUGUUAAGAAAUUCAUUAAAUAUGUAUACAACAUUUACUAAUACUUGAGGUCGUUGUCCUAGAUUCUAGAACUCAUAAAGUUCAAAUCUUGAUCAGCCUUUCCUUAUUAAGUAAUUACAAGCUAAUCUUUUGAUAAACAACACUAACAACAAAUCGAAUGUAAUCCCAUAAGUAAGGUCUGGGGAGAGUAAUGUGUUAGGCAGACCUUACCCUACCGUAUUUCUACAUUGAGUGAUAUAUAGUGCUGUUAGAUAAAAUCUAGAGAAAUUUCCAAUGGAUAAUGAUAAGAGAUAUCAUACUAUAAGCUCAACAAAUCACAGAAUAGAGUUCAAGCCUUGUAGCCAGUGGACAACAUUAGUUGGGUCCCCCUGUAAACAUCAUGGAAAAUUGAUGGACUAAAGAUUGCCAAGUUGCAUUACUUGCUACACAUGGGAUCUUGAUACCCAAUGAGAUUAUAAAUAUAGAUAUUACUAGAUAAGGACUCUUUCCCUCUUACUCCCUAUAUAUGGUGAAUUAAUUCAACACAUCACAGCAAACUUCAACAAUUUUCAUAUCAUCAAACACUUGCUUUUCUCUUAAUAUAAACACAAUGGCAGCUGCUACAAUGGCUCUUUCUUCCCCUUCUUUUGCUGGACAGGCAGUCAAACUUUCACCAUCUGCCUCAGAAAUCUCUGGAAAUGGAAGGAUCACUAUGAGAAAGGCUGUCUCCAAGUCUGCUCCAUCUAGCAGCCCAUGGUAUGGCCCUGACCGUGUUAAGUACUUGGGCCCAUUCUCUGGUGAGUCCCCAAGCUACUUGACUGGUGAAUUCCCUGGUGACUACGGGUGGGAUACUGCUGGACUUUCAGCAGACCCUGAAACCUUUGCCAAGAACCGUGAACUCGAGGUGAUCCACUGCAGAUGGGCUAUGCUUGGUGCUCUUGGAUGUGUCUUCCCUGAGCUCUUGGCCCGCAACGGUGUCAAGUUUGGUGAGGCUGUGUGGUUCAAGGCUGGAUCCCAGAUCUUCAGCGAGGGUGGACUUGACUACUUGGGCAACCCAAGCUUGGUCCAUGCUCAAAGCAUCUUGGCCAUUUGGGCUUGCCAAGUUGUGUUGAUGGGAGCCGUUGAGGGAUACCGUAUUGCAGGUGGACCUCUUGGUGAGGUUGUGGACCCACUAUACCCCGGUGGAAGCUUUGACCCAUUGGGUCUUGCUGAUGACCCAGAGGCAUUUGCUGAACUCAAGGUAAAGGAGAUCAAGAACGGCAGACUUGCUAUGUUCUCCAUGUUUGGAUUCUUUGUCCCCGGUGGAAGCUUUGACCCAUUGGGUCUUGCUGAUGACCCAGAGGCAUUUGCUGAACUCAAGGUAAAGGAGAUCAAGAACGGCAGACUUGCUAUGUUCUCUAUGUUUGGAUUCUUUGUUCAAGCCAUUGUUACCGGAAAGGGUCCAUUGGAGAACCUUGCUGAUCACCUUGCAGACCCAGUAAACAACAACGCCUGGGCCUUCGCCACAAACUUUGUUCCCGGAAAGUGAUCAUAAAAUGAUCUCAAAUUUUCAUGUAAAGUUGUUGUGAAUGAGUUGACAAUAGAAUGGAUUUUUCUUAUAUUCCAAUGAUUUUUAGUCCUGAAUUUUCAUUUUCUAAACCCGCGAUACGAAUCAAACACUAAAACUUUCAUUCCAAAAAGAAAAGAAAUAGAAUAAUGCCCUAAUGAACACUUUCGACGAUAUGGUAAUUAAAAAACCACAGUAAAGGUGUUUAUAGCUUAAAACUUCAAUUUGUAGAACAG